GCCUGGCUGGCUCAGUGGGUGGAGCAUGUGACUCUUGAUCUCAGGGUUGUGGGUUUGAGCCCCACGUAGGCU
RNAcentral lists this transfer RNA (72 nucleotides) under Ailuropoda melanoleuca (giant panda). It matches the Rfam family "tRNA". Rfam says of the family: Transfer RNA (tRNA) molecules are approximately 80 nucleotides in length. The record is from Rfam by way of RNAcentral. Lineage: Eukaryota; Metazoa; Chordata; Mammalia; Carnivora; Ursidae.